AACGCACAUUGCGCCCCUUGGCAUUCCGAGGGGCAUGCCCGUUCGAGCGUCAUUUCACCAAUCAAGCCUGGCUUGGUGUUGGGCCCCGGGGGCGACCCGGACCUCAAUGUCCCGCCGGCCGGUCGACCCGGACCCCAGCGUUGUGGCACACGAAUUCGCUGGCGGGGAAGGGCGGCCGCGCCGUCAGAAACUCAAAGGUUGACCUCGGAUCGGGCAGGGAUACCCGCUGAACUUAA
RNAcentral lists this unclassified non-coding RNA (236 nucleotides) under uncultured fungus. RNAcentral's name for it is "sequence contains ITS2". The record is from RNAcentral. Lineage: Eukaryota; Fungi.